CGCAAAAAAAAAAAGGCUUUUUUCUAAUAGUAACUGUUUUAGGAUUUGAUAUUCAUAAUACAGCCCCAUCUUGGUUUUUGUUAUUUUAAAUCACCCAAACUCAAACAAGUAUGUCAGGUUUGAAAAUUUCUCAAUUUCUCCAUUUUGCAUCUUAUGGGCCAACCUGCUAUUGAUAUUAGAAAAUGUGCAAACUUUACCAUUCAUCAGAAGUCCCACUCAUCUUGUGGGCCUCUAGAAAGGAUGAAGAAGAAGAUAAGGAGAAAAGAGAGUGCAAGUCUCUCUUUAAAAAUUUGAAGUUCUUCUUGAGUCCUGAGUUACUAGCAGAUUGUCUGAAAAGAAUCCAACAUAUGUUUUACCUGUACUUUGUCGCCAUCUCAUACAAUUGUUAAUGCAUCUUGAGCAAAGGUAAUCUGAAAGAUAUCUACUUACCAAUAAUAUUAUUGAUUUAUGGGGCAAUAGAUGCCCUCUUUUUCAUAUUCAGAGUUGGUAGUGGUGUCAUACAGAGGUUUUGGGAAGAUUUGUGGUGUGAGGAGUGCUUGCUGAGAGUUUUGGAGAUCUUUAUGUUGGUUCAUCACAAAAAGGAGGCUUCGGUGAGCUAGUUGUUUCAGUAUGUUCGCAAUAAUAUUGUGUGGAAUGUCACCUUUCGAAGGAAUCUGAAAGACGAUGAAAUCUUUUAUAUACUCACCUUUUCUCCUAUUUUCAAUCUGUUUAAAUUCCACUUACAAGUUCUGGCUGCAAAAUUUUUACUCUCAGCUCCUAAGGCAAAUUCUCUGCAAAAUCUCUUGUUGUAGCUCUUAGUAGGGGGUUGGACGGAAGGAAUUUGUAUUCUCAAGGAUUUGGAAGGGUGUGCUUCCUUUAAAGGUGAAGGCUUUAGCCUGGUUAGCUGCUGCAGGAAAAUUUUGAACAUGGAUAACUUUCAAAGGUGUGGUUUAAGCGCUUCAGACAGGUGUGUUUUAUGCUAUAAAGCUGAAGAAUCCAUUAAUCACAUUUUUUUGCAUUGUCUGGUGGCUGGGA
RNA transcript from Magnolia sinica, 1014 nucleotides. RefSeq lists it as uncharacterized. NCBI's taxonomy places the organism in Eukaryota, Viridiplantae, Streptophyta, Magnoliopsida, Magnoliales, Magnoliaceae. The transcript has 2 exons. The record is from RefSeq and is a predicted model, not a curated record.